UGCCUCUUGCAGCUUUGCAGGAAGACCAGAGGGGCUGCACCUGGACCUGGGGAUUCCACCUAGGGCAGUAACAACCUUCCUGGGUAUCCUGAGCACGAGGAGACAAAUUUGCAGGGACAGCUGGAGGAGCACAUGGGAUGGUGUGCAGCACAGAGGAGGGAGCCGACAUGAGAAAAGCACCAAGAACAAUGUGAGCAUGACCCAGGACUGCCCACCUCCAGGCUCCUUGCAGCAACAUGCUGCUCCUUCCAGGUGGAGCCACAGCAAGACAACUGUGGGAACACAAUCUCAGACUUCAGCAUCCUCUGUUCCCAACCACUUUGCUACCCAACCUCCGAUGUCCGUUAAGCUCUCCUUUCCUAUGGUGAGUUCUCUGCAGAAAACAGCAAUGAGAGAGAGGGA
RNAcentral lists this long non-coding RNA (402 nucleotides) under Gallus gallus (chicken). RNAcentral's name for it is "long non-coding RNA NONGGAT004805". Lineage: Eukaryota; Metazoa; Chordata; Aves; Galliformes; Phasianidae. The record is from RNAcentral.